GGGAGAACAGAAUGAAAAGAAGGGCUGGGGCCCCAGCACCUUCUACCUGAACGGGUUUUGCCGCCAGCCAGAUCUCUACAGAGAUCUCUCGGCUGCUGUAAUAGCUCCUUCCUUCUUCCCAGGCACAGGCUGCUGAGAGCUCCCAACAAGAGCCUUCCUCUGGUUCCCCCCAGCGGCUCUAUCUGUUCCCUCCCUCCACGCAGCUUCUUGCUUCUGUUUUCCUGAGAGACUCCUUCACUUCCCAAGCUCUUCCUCGAUUUGCCUCCCGUUACCAUUGUCCGGGUGAAAUUCCAGCUGACCCUUUCCUUUGAACCCUGUGGGCUUUCACCCCUGCUUCCUCCACUGGGCCACACAUUGCCAACCAUUGUUGGCCAGACACUGGGGGUGGAUACUUUUGUAGGAAGUCCCUGAGCUGAGAAGUCAUCCAGACAAUGGGUAAGUCCUUUAGCGUCUGGUCACUGUGCCAAGCACAAUAAAGCCACUGGAGAGGAUGUGCAGCUUUGGAGCCGUGAAAGCCUCGUGGGCAGCGAGCCACAUGCUCAGAGCUUUGUCUGCCGAGAGCUGUGUUCACAUGGUUCCUGGCAUCAUACUCACGCUUGGCAGUGGGCACCCUGACCUGCAGAGAGCAACAGAGAUGCCUCUUGUGUUGUUUGUGGGACACAGGAGGGGACCCGGGUGCAAGAGAACAAGCCAAUGACUUGUUAAAUGUUGUGAGGACUGAGCCAAGUGCGUCCCAUAACAAACGCCAAGAAACACAGGACUUUAAAUAAACAGCCUCACUGAAGAGCCAGAGGAGGACAAGGGGGCAAUUCAUGAAGCAUAAAAGGGACGUUAUUUGUAAGAGAAAAAGGCCCAAGAAGCAUGGAGGGGAUCUGCCAAGAGCGGGCGAAGCCAGCCAGAUGCGGCAGGAGUUAUGGGGUGAGGGAGGCCAGCAAGGGCAUCCAUUCUCCUCCACCAGCCUAGGCUAGAUGGCCAUCGGGGCCACAGCAGCGUGCUGCACUCGGGCAUUGAAUUUCACCGGUAAGACUCAAAUGCAAAGAGAGAAUGGCCAAAAAUUCCAAGAUGGCAGCCACUGAGCUUUGACUCCAACCCAGGGCCCUUUGGAGCCCAGCAGGUCCUAUGCACCAGAUGGUUGCACCAUGCAGAGAUGCCUGCUGUAGCUGAGAGGUAGCCAGCAGGGUGGUUGGGUUUUUUUUUUUUUUUUUUUUUUUUUUUGCAUGGGGUAUACUGCUGGAUGAAAUAUAGGAUGAAGGGAAGGAUGUUGCUUGUGCUGCUCUGUAUUUACCAAUUUUGGCAUGUUUUAGAACUAAGAAAUACAAGUUAAACCCACACAAUCAGAAACACUGGGUAUGUUGGUGACCUUUCGGGGUAACCUCUUGACCACCCUGGAAAGGUUACACCUGGCCAUGGUCAGUGGGCUGACCUUGUUUCAGCUUGUCAUCAGCGCUUCUCAGCUUAUCUAUUAGGCUCAGUAAGGCCAGUCGUUACGCACUUAGCUGAUUGUGUGACUCACAAGCCAAGAACGUAACCCACAUGGCUAAUGAGAGGGCAUGGGGAGACACAGCCGCUGCUGGGCCAUAAAUAAUACGCACACUGUCUGUGCCAGACAUUGUCAGAGCCUUUGUGUAUAUUGUCCCACUUAAUCCUCACAGUAGCCCUGUGAACUAGGAAUCACUACUCUCUCUCAAUAAAUGAAGUGGUCCCUGUAUUGUGCUAGGCGCCGGGUCCCAUCUGUGUAUCUACUGCUUACCACUCUCUCCCUUCUCUAGCCUGGGGGUGGGGUGGGAGGCACCCUGAUUUUAAAGGAGUGGAAAUUAAAUUAGAUCUGUGCUUUUCUGACACUUGGGAUACAAGCAAGUGCUUCCUCCUGGGAAAACUCCCAAGCAGGCAGUUGUUGAUUUUGGUGUGUAGGAGACCCAGCAGGCAGAUCCUAACAUCCAUUGCCCAGACUUCUGAUUCAGUAGAGACUCAGGAAUGUGGAUUUCUGAAAGUCCCCCCUAGAUUCUGAGGCAGAAGGCUUUAGAGACUUCAAAGGCUUAUUGCAUUAUGAAUGUAGAUGUAGCUAUAUUCAGACCUGCCUGUCUGUAUCUCACAUAUUAACACUCUCAUUGAUCUUGAAGGUUACAGGCAAAAAUCCUUAUGUUCUCACAGUGAAUUCUAGAGAAGUAUAAUAAAGUAAGAUAGAUUUGCUGGCUCCUUACAAUUUCUGUGCCCCUAGAGUACCUCUUCUUUUUAACAUCCUCUACAAAAUUUCCAUCCCCUCCGAGAGACAAACCAAAUUACUGACUUUGUCAAAAGACGGCAAACAGAUGUGCCAGUGCUUGAGAAAGUGUAGCCAGUGGCUUCUUGCCGAAGCUUCUGGCUAUCUUAGCAGUGAAGCUGGGUAGGAGAGCGGAAUAGGGAGGUUUAAAAUGGUAGCUGGCAGCCGCACAGAGGACGAGCUGCUCCUUCACCCCAGCACCUGGCUGCUCCUGGUCCAGGUGACCAGAAAGUCUGCCCAAAGUCAUGAAGAAAUGACUGCCAGUGUUUUUCCUCGAUGACAGACAUCAGAGUUAAGACAUUGCCAGUGUAUUUGGGAAGAAUCUCUGAUGUCACAUCAGAUGGAUCCCUGGCUCAUCGAGCCCUGUCUAGGCUCAGAUCCAGAACACAUGCCCAUUGGUAAUUUUGUCUAAAUUGAGCUAUAAGUUGAAUUAUUACUCCUCAACCACUUACUGAGAGUUUGUCUUCUAAUUUUCAAAA
Peromyscus leucopus (white-footed mouse) is the source of this 2739-nucleotide long non-coding RNA. RefSeq lists it as uncharacterized. The record is from RefSeq and is a predicted model, not a curated record. Lineage: Eukaryota; Metazoa; Chordata; Mammalia; Rodentia; Cricetidae. The transcript is spliced from 3 exons.